Molecule: ribosomal RNA, 463 nt
Filed under: uncultured bacterium
Lineage: Bacteria
Description: bacterial SSU rRNA
Rfam family: Bacterial small subunit ribosomal RNA
Source: RNAcentral
GCUCGUGCCGUGAGGUGUCGGCUUAAGUGCCAUAACGAGCGCAACCCUUAUCUUCAGUUACUAACAGGUCAUGCUGAGGACUCUGGAGAGACUGCCGUCGUAAGAUGUGAGGAAGGUGGGGAUGACGUCAAAUCAGCACGGCCCUUACGUCCGGGGCUACACACGUGUUACAAUGGGGGGUACAGAAGGCCGCUACCUGGUGACAGGAUGCCAAUCCCAAAAACCUCUCUCAGUUCGGAUCGAAGUCUGCAACCCGACUUCGUGAAGCUGGAUUCGCUAGUAAUCGCGCAUCAGCCAUGGCGCGGUGAAUACGUUCCCGGGCCUUGUACACACCGCCCGUCAAGCCAUGAAAGCCGGGGGUACCUGAAGUACGUAACCGCAAGGAGCGUCCUAGGGUAAAACUGGUAAUUGGGGCUAAGUCGUAACAAGGUAGCCGUACCGGAAGGUGCGGCUGGAUCACCUC